AAGUUUGGACAAUGGGCGCAAGCCUGAUCCAGCCAUGCCGCGUGAGUGAAGAAGGCCUUCUGGUUGUAAAGCUCUUUCGGACGGAACGAAAUCGCGCAGGCUAAUACCCUGCGCGGUUCACGGUACCGGCAGAAGAAUCACCUGCUAACAACGUGCCCGCAGCCGCGGUAAUACGUAGGGUGCGAGCGUUAAGCGGAAUUACCGGGCGUAAAGCGUGCGCAGGCGGUGGAUUAAGACAGGCGUGGAAUCCCCGGGCUUAACCUGGGAACUGCGCUUGUGACUGGUCAGCUAGAGUACGGCAGAGGGGGGUGGAAUUCCACGUGUAGCAGUGAAAUGCGUAGAGAUGUGGAGGAACACCGAUGGCGAAGGCAGCCCCCUGGGCCGAUACUGACGCUCAUGCACGAAAGCGUGGGUAGCAAACAGG
RNAcentral lists this ribosomal RNA (424 nucleotides) under uncultured bacterium. RNAcentral's name for it is "partial 16S ribosomal RNA". It matches the Rfam family "Bacterial small subunit ribosomal RNA", at positions 359 to 776 of the family's 1533-position model. The record is from RNAcentral.